GUCAGUCAAAGCAUCGGCCUGAACAAUGUUGCUCUGUUUACUUAGCUUUCUAUCUACAUUCGGAGGUGGCGGUUGUAAAGAUGUCAUCACUCCUGUCCUAACUGAGGUUUAUGGGAAGAGUGGGGAUAAAGUGACGUUGUCUUGCAACUACUCUUCAGCCCUUUCUUUGUACUGGUAUCGUCAAUAUCUAAGGUCAAGUCCACAUUUCCUUCUUCUGAUACUGCAAAACAGCGGGGAGUCUGAAAUCAUGCAGCCUGGCAUGUCAGUGAAGUUAAAUGAAAAGAAAAUCUCUAUGGACCUGGAGAUCUCCUCUGUGAAAGUAUCCGACUCUGCAGUGUACUACUGUGCGUUGAAGCCCACAGUGAGAGGAAACCCGUCAGCGCCGUACAAAAACCUGAAUCUGGCUUGACAAAGUGUUUUUAAGGACUGAGAAAUAUACUAAUACUAUACAAACACUGCAUCCUGACUAUACAUUUUUACCACAUCUGUUCUGAAUCACACUAGUACUAUGGGGAACAUUUUACAAUAAGUUUCCA
Molecule: non-coding RNA, 536 nt
Organism: Pimephales promelas (fathead minnow)
Lineage: Eukaryota; Metazoa; Chordata; Actinopteri; Cypriniformes; Leuciscidae
Source: the annotation of a RefSeq genome assembly